RNAcentral lists this ribosomal RNA (253 nucleotides) under uncultured bacterium. Its description in RNAcentral is "partial 16S ribosomal RNA". It matches the Rfam family "Bacterial small subunit ribosomal RNA", at positions 524 to 776 of the family's 1533-position model. The record is from RNAcentral.
UACGUAGGUGGCAAGCGUUGUCCGGAAUUAUUGGGCGUAAAGCGCGCGCAGGUGGUUCCUUAAGUCUGAUGUGAAAGCCCACGGCUCAACCGUGGAGGGUCAUUGGAAACUGGGGAACUUGAGUGCAGAAGAGGAAAGUGGAAUUCCAAGUGUAGCGGUGAAAUGCGUAGAGAUUUGGAGGAACACCAGUGGCGAGGGCGACUUUCUGGUCUGUAACUGACACUGAGGCGCGAAAGCGUGGGGAGCAAACAGG